RNAcentral lists this long non-coding RNA (3830 nucleotides) under Cricetulus griseus (Chinese hamster). Its description in RNAcentral is "lncRNA (ENSCGRG00015034615.1)". Lineage: Eukaryota; Metazoa; Chordata; Mammalia; Rodentia; Cricetidae. The record is from RNAcentral.
CGGACCUUGAGGUCUCAUAUAUGUCCAAGCCAUGCCCAGUGAGACAGACCAUUUCCUGUUGCCUGUAAGUCCAGGGAUAGGACUCUCAGCUCCAUGCAUGCCACCAUGAUGAUAAUGGACUGAAGCUCAGAAAAUAGGACCUGCGUUUUGAUUCCCAGCAUCUACACAGAGGGAAUCCAACAACACCAUCUUCUGGCCUCUGCAGGUCCUCGGCUCCCAUUCACACCAUGGCAAGCGAGGGACACAGGACCCUGGAGGACCUGAUGGGCAGCAGUGCUGGUAGGAGUAGUUCCAGAUGGGCUCCUCAGGUACUGACAGAGACAUCUGCUCCGUUUAGCACUGAAGUUGAUCAAGUACUCUGGGCCUUGGAGUGCACAUCUGCAACUUCCCGAUGCUGGGUGGACAUCCCCAAACUUCUGGAAGGAGAGCUUAUCUGUGCAGCAUUCAGCACAAACAGUCAUGAUUGUCUGUAGUCACUCAGGCAGGGACCGUGCCCAGGUGCUGAACAUCAGAGUGACAGCUGAAGGAUUUGCAUUCUCACAGGGGACUGGACAGAGUGUUUUGGCCAUGGUGCUUCCUUGAAACUCAAGUUCCAGAUCCUUCUUGGGGCUGGGGCCAUUGCUUGCCACUAGGACACGAGACAUGGCUGGCUCUUUGUUUUGUUUAUGUGUGUGCUCAUGUUCAUGUGAGUGUGUCCAUGUGUGUCUGACAGUGUGCGUGCAUGUGAAUCUAUACGCAUGGAGAGGUUCAUGGCCAGUAUCUUCCUUGGUUACUCUCUAACUUACUGGUUUUUCGUUGUUGCUGCUGCUGCUGCUGUUUUGUUUUGUUUCUUUUUGUUUGUUUGUUUGGUUGUUUGGUUUGGUUUUUCCAGACAAGAGUUUCUCUGUGAAACAGUCCUGGCUGUCCUGGAACUCACUCUGUAGAUGAGGCUGGCCUCGAACUCACAGAGCUCCACCUGCUUCUGCCUCCCGAGUGCUGGGAUUAAAGGAGUGAGCCACCAACGCCCCUGCUGCUGCUUUGUGUGUGUGUGCGCGCGCGCGCGCGCGCACGUGUGUGUGUGUGUGUGCGCGUGCGUGUGUGUGUGUGUGUGCGUGUGCGUGUGUGUGUGUGUGUGUGUGUGUGUGUGUGUGUGUUUUGCCUGCAUUUAUAUGCAUCGUGAGGGUGACCGGUGUCUGUGGAGGUUAGAAUAGGAGUCACUGAUGGUUGUGAACAGCUGUGUGGGUGCUGGAAACCAAACCUGGGUCCUUUGCAAGAGCAACAGCUCUUUAAAAAAAUUUUUUUUUCCAAAGCUACACAGAGAAACCCUGUCUCGAAAAAUCAAAAAAAAAUUUUUUUUAAUUUCAUUUUACAUUCCCACCAAAGUUCUCCUUCCCACCCUUCCUCCUUGCUCCUCCUCCCCUCCCCUCAGCCCAUCCCCCACCCACUCCUCCCAACAGGUAAGGGCUCCCAUGGGGAGUCACACCGUUUGGCACAUUAAGUUGGGCAGGACCAAGUCUCUCCCUGCUGUGUUAAGGCUGAGCAUGGCAUUUCCUCAUAGGCAAUGGGCUCUAACAAGCUAGCUCAUGCAGCAGGAAUAGAUCCUGGUCCUACAGUCAGGGCUCCCUCAGAUAGCCCAAGCUUCACAACUGUCUCCCACAUACAGAGAGACACAUGGAUCGCUCUGGGAAGGGAAAUUAGAUGAGAUCUCCCAGGUAAGCUGGGGGCGAGGGGGUUGGUAAAGGGAGGGGAAGGGGCAUGAGAAUACGAGGGAAUGGGAUGGCUGAGGAGGGAAAAGACGGAGAGGGAGAGCAAGGAAAGAAAUGCUUGAUAAGAGAGCCACUCUGGGAUCAGGGAGAAACCUGGUGCCAGGGAAACCCCCAAGAAUCCACAAAGAUGACCCCAGCUAAGUCUCCAAGCGAUAGUGGAGAAGAUGCCCGAUCUGGCCUUCCCCUGUAAUCAAAUUGGUGAACACCCCAGCUGUCAUCAUGGAGCCUUUAUUCAGUAAUUGAUGGAACCAGAUGCAGAGAUCCACAACUAAGUACCAGGCUGAACUCUGGGAAUCCAGUCAGAGAAGAAGGAAGGAAUAUAUGAGCAAGGGAGGUCAAGAUCAUGAUGGGGAAAUCUACAGAGACAGCUGAACCAAGCUCGUGGAAACUUGUAAACUCUGGACUGAUGGCUAUGGAGGCUCCAUGGCGGGGGCAACAGCUCCAGUCUCACAGCUUAUUUUCUGAGACAAGGCCUCUCACUGGGCCAGGGGCUUAGUGACUUGGCUAGCUCCAUUGUUAGGGGUACAGGUGUACCCUGCCACAGGCUCUCAUACAGCUGCUAAGGACCUGAACUCAUGUCCUCAUGCUUGUAUGGAAACCAUUUUACUGACUGAGAUGUUGCACUUAGAAAUGUCCUCUUUUGGUCUCCAUGGGCACCUUAUGUACAGCCAGCCAGGCUGUCUCCACUCCACAGAGGAACAAACCCAGCUUCCCAGGGCGGGGUGGGCUGGGGAUUUGCCCAGUGCUCACUGGUGUGGGUGACUGGGUCUCCAGGGUCAUCCGCCUUCCCCUCUGCAUCAGAUGGAGGACUUGGCCUUGGGAGCAGACCAAGAACAGGUGGGCCCAGUCUCUGUCCUGAAGCAGGAGCAUGCCAUCUCUCCAGGCUUCCUAGCUGCCUCAUGCUACCCUCACAUCCGCACAGAGGCAGGUGAGGGUUCCUCACCAGCAAUGCCUGGGACGAGCAGAAUUUCAGAUUUUCUAUAUAUAUUUCACUGUUUUCAUAAGCUUUGCUAGUUGGCUGUCCCGAAUCCAAAAACCCCGGUUCUGAAACUUGUUGAUCAUUAGUUCUCAAACUCAGAGCAAACAGCUAACUAGUGAUUAUUGACAUAUCAAAGUGGGUGCUGGCCACCACUCUCUCAGCACCACCAAUACCUGGCAUAUCCUGCCCUCAACCUGAAACUCCAGUCCAGGGCCCCGGCUGUGCUUACUUUUCCCCAGCUCAUCAGCCAUUUUGGCUAUACCCUCUCUUGGCCCAGGUCCCCGUUCUUGGUCUCCCCCCUGCCCCCUCUCCUCACAUGGCCCAGCUCAGUCUAGACUCUCCCAGAUGCCUCUAUCUCUGCCUCUGGCUAUUUCCUCUCUUUUAUCUACAAUAAACGUCUCCUCCACCACACCUAGGAGCUGUCCUCUCUUUUCAUUCAUUGAGAAUGGUAGCAUGCUUGGUCUGCAUCAACACCAUUGGACAGAUGGGAAACCAAGGCUAAGAGAGCUCGGGCAAUUUGCCCAGAAUCACCAGCCCAUGUGUGACCAAGCCAGGACUUACACAUGUGCCUGUCUGCAGUGCCUUGGCCCUUGGCCAAGUUUCUUACCUCUUUACCCUUGAUGUAUGGGACUGGGUUGUGGAAAUGUAGGUCUAUUGAGUGGCAUCCCUGACCCACGGCAGUGGCUUCCCUCCCUGACCACAAUGUCUCCAGGGCCCUGGAGAAACCUUGCCGCUACUACUAGGACUCCAGGGCCCGGGCUGAAGAUGUAGCUGACAGCUACUCUGUAGCGGGCUUAGGGACAAAAGCAGAGUUGAAAGGACUGAACGGCAGCUUCAGAGAGUUUUGGCUCUGUGACCCUGAUAUCUGGUCCCCAGCAGAGGUAUUGGCUGAUGUCAGCCUGCUGAGAUGAACCCAAGAUGACUGCAGGGCCUUUGAUCUCAGGAAUAACUGGUGUGCCGUGGGUUGGGGAGGAGAGAAUACUGUUACCCCACCCCUGGUUGUCUAAGUGUCUCCUGCCUGGGAUGGAUUUGUCUGGUGGCCAUUAGGGAGCUGUCUGAUGGUUAUCUCCCAGACAGCUUGGUUCUCUCUGUCUGUGAAUCUAAAC